GUCCACGCCGUAAACGAUGGGCACUAGGUGUGGGAGGUGUCGACUCCUCCCGUGCCGGCGCUAACGCAUUAAGUGCCCCGCCUGGGGAGUACGGCCGCAAGGCUAAAACUCAAAGGAAUUGACGGGGGCCCGCACAAGCAGCGGAGCAUGUGGUUUAAUUCGAUGCAACGCGAAGAACCUUACCUGGGCUUGACAUGUAACUGACAGCCGUGGAAACACGGUCUCCCUUCGGGGCAGUUACACAGGUGGUGCAUGGCUGUCGU
This 263-nucleotide ribosomal RNA is filed under the name uncultured bacterium. RNAcentral's name for it is "partial 16S ribosomal RNA". It matches the Rfam family "Bacterial small subunit ribosomal RNA", at positions 793 to 1055 of the family's 1533-position model. The record is from RNAcentral.